AACGCACAUUGCGCCCGCCAGCAUUCUGGCGGGCAUGCCUGUUCGAGCGUCAUUUCAACCAUCAAGCCCCCGUGGCUUGUGUUGGGGACCUGCGGCUGCUCCGCAGGCCCUGAAAUACAGUGGCGGGCUCGCUAGUCACACCGAGCGUAGUAGACAUUUUUAUCUCGCUCAGGGCGUGCUGCGGGUUCCGGCCGUUAAACCCCCGCCUUCUAACCCAAGGUUGACCUCGGAUCAGGUAGGAAGACCCGCUGAACUUAA
RNAcentral lists this unclassified non-coding RNA (258 nucleotides) under uncultured Sordariales. RNAcentral's name for it is "sequence contains 5.8S rRNA gene, ITS2, 28S rRNA gene". The record is from RNAcentral. Lineage: Eukaryota; Fungi; Ascomycota; Sordariomycetes; Sordariales.